RNAcentral lists this ribosomal RNA (497 nucleotides) under uncultured bacterium. RNAcentral describes it as "partial 16S ribosomal RNA". It matches the Rfam family "Bacterial small subunit ribosomal RNA", at positions 28 to 507 of the family's 1533-position model. The record is from RNAcentral.
GAUGAACGCUGGCGGCGUGCUUAAUACAUGCAAGUCGAGCGAACAGACGAGGAGCUUGCUCCUCUGACGUUAGCGGCGGACGGGUGAGUAACACGUGGAUAACCUACCUAUAAGACUGGGAUAACUUCGGGAAACCGGAGCUAAUACCGGAUAAUAUAUUGAACCGCAUGGUUCAAUAGUGAAAGACGGUUUUGCUGUCACUUAUAGACGGAUCCGCGCCGCAUUAGCUAGUUGGUAAGGUAACGGCUUACCAAGGCAACGAUGCGUAGCCGACCUGAGAGGGUGAUCGGCCACACUGGAACUGAGACACGGUCCAGACUCCUACGGGAGGCAGCAGUAGGGAAUCUUCCGCAAUGGGCGAAAGCCUGACGGAGCAACGCCGCGUGAGUGAUGAAGGUCUUCGGAUCGUAAAACUCUGUUAUUAGGGAAGAACAAAUGUGUAAGUAACUAUGCACGUCUUGACGGUACCUAAUCAGAAAGCCACGGCUAACUACGUG